RNAcentral lists this ribosomal RNA (177 nucleotides) under Staphylococcus sp. AtDRG32. The record is from RNAcentral. Lineage: Bacteria; Bacillati; Bacillota; Bacilli; Caryophanales; Staphylococcaceae.
UCAAGUUUUGCGACGCAAAUCUUUACUUACUAUCUAGUUUUGAAUGUAUAAUCAUUCACUUGUCUGGUGACAAUGGCAAGGAGGUCACACCUGUUCCCAUGCCGAACACAGAAGUUAAGCUCCUUAGCGCCGAUGGUAGUUGGACUGACGUUCCGCUAGAGUAGGACGUUGCCAGGC